Molecule: small RNA, 134 nt
Filed under: Salmonella enterica subsp. enterica serovar Typhimurium
Lineage: Bacteria; Pseudomonadati; Pseudomonadota; Gammaproteobacteria; Enterobacterales; Enterobacteriaceae
Description: RtT sRNA
Rfam family: RtT RNA
About the family: This family represents a bacterial cis-regulatory element known as RtT RNA. The exact function of RtT is unknown although it is thought that it may be involved in changing the cellular response in relation to amino acid starvation.
Source: RNAcentral
UAUCCCCCAAACUAAGGGGGGAUGAGAACCACCGACCGGGGUUCGACAACUGGCGCAGCCAGUUGGACAGACGACGAGCUUGCGAGGAGACUGCCCGAAGGGCGAGCGCAGCGAGUCAAUCCCCCUCACCGCCA